This is a long non-coding RNA of Nematostella vectensis (starlet sea anemone), 692 nucleotides long. RefSeq lists it as uncharacterized. The record is from RefSeq and is a predicted model, not a curated record. The transcript has 2 exons. Lineage: Eukaryota; Metazoa; Cnidaria; Anthozoa; Actiniaria; Edwardsiidae.
UGGCUCCAAAACUCGAUUUGUCGAAGGCGUUCCUAAACGACAUGGUAAAACGACUGGGAAUGAGUCCGCAGUCCGCUGACCUAUCUGCUCAAAAAAAGUUAAUCGCAACGCAACAAAAUGUAUGAAAGUCUACAGAAAAUUUCGAGAAAUUUGCCUUUAGUACAAAGGCAAGCUCAAAGGAGAUAUCAAUGGACAGGGCCUAACUAUUCCAAGGGUGUAUUCAUUAUCUCUCUGUCCGCGGUUGUUGGAGCAGUUUUAACCUCGUCCUUUAUGAAGUAUUGGCAGUUUAGAAGUGAAUAUGAACCACCAACUGAUUCAAGAGAAUCUCAAACAAGAUGAAGGAUGCCCGAGCUGAUGUGGAUAAACAUUGUGUUAUCUGUCCUGCAAAAAAAAGUACAUUUUGUACAGACAGUAAUUCAGCCAUUGUGGAGAGGAAAAAUAGAGUGAACCACAUUCUGUAGCAAAGAUGAUUGAUAAUUUCAUUAUCAUCUUUUGUCAAGAAACUAGGAUUAAGUCAUUAAAUACCUCAUCUGCUGCUAAGUCAGUUUGAUACUGGGACAUGCAAUUUUUAGUUCUUUGAACUAAAUUUGCUUAACUAAUAUCUUACUGAAGGAAAAGAUAGGUGACGUGUGAUGUAAACUUUCUCUUGAGGAGACUUCAACAUAAUAAAGAAUAUUUCUGUUAAAAAAUAA